RNAcentral lists this unclassified non-coding RNA (326 nucleotides) under soil metagenome. RNAcentral describes it as "partial contains 5.8S ribosomal RNA, internal transcribed spacer 2, and large subunit ribosomal RNA". The stretch from base 1 to 120 matches the Rfam family "5.8S ribosomal RNA", at positions 35 to 154 of the family's 154-position model. The record is from RNAcentral.
GAUGAAGAACGCAGCGAAAUGCGAUAAGUAAUGUGAAUUGCAGAAUUCCGUGAAUCAUCGAAUCUUUGAACGCACAUUGCGCCCCUUGGUAUUCCGAGGGGCAUGCCUGUUCGAGCGUCAUAUUAACCACUCCCGCUUGCGGGGUCUUGGGCUUCGCCUCCGGGCGGGACUUAAAAUCAGUGGCGGUGCCGUCGGGCUCUACGCGUAGUAAAUUUUCUCGCGAUAGGGUCCCGGUGGAUGCUUGCCAACAACCCCCAACUUCUUAAGGUUGACCUCGGAUCAGGUAGGGAUACCCGCUGAACUUAAGCAUAUCAAUAAGCGGAGGA